GGAACUCUUCCAAUUUUCAUUUGAAUUGCUGUUACAAAGAGCUUGAAAAUAUACAAUUUCUAAUGUCAUAGAAAGAACUUUGCUUUCUUUUCUCCUAUUGUAUACAAAAGAUGGUUAGUGAAAACCAGGGGAGAGUGAGCAUUCAUCCACUAAAUCUAAACCUGUUAUAGACAAAUAAAUUAGCCAUAAAACAGUUCCAUGGCUCACAAGAUUCAAUUAAAACCAAAAAAAAGAAGGAAAAGAAAACGAAAAAUCAUCUUUCGGCUCAUCUCUCAUUGGGCAAAAAGUUAGACAUCAGCAGAACAAAAUCCGGUUAACCUGUACGUCAUGAGUGUAUAUAUGCACGGACAACAUCUAUAAUGGGGGUUUCACAUAUCGGACAUUUUCCGGUGCCCCAAAGCAAUUCAUGGGCACACCUGAAACAGGUGCACAUAUGCCCACACCUGUAAAGGAGAGAAUCAACUUGCUGCUCAUAACAAAUACAGCAAUUUGCUAUGUUUGCACCCUUCUU
This 511-nucleotide unclassified non-coding RNA is filed under the name Hevea brasiliensis (rubber tree). The record is from RNAcentral. Lineage: Eukaryota; Viridiplantae; Streptophyta; Magnoliopsida; Malpighiales; Euphorbiaceae.